UGAUCCUUCGAUGUCGGCUCUUC
This 23-nucleotide non-coding RNA is filed under the name Arabidopsis thaliana (thale cress). Lineage: Eukaryota; Viridiplantae; Streptophyta; Magnoliopsida; Brassicales; Brassicaceae. The record is from RNAcentral. RNAcentral also lists the same sequence under 5 other names.